CGGGAAAAGCUCAAAUUUAAAAUCUGGCAGUCUUUGGCUGUCCGAGUUGUAAUUUAGAGAAGUGUUACCCGUGCUGGACUAUGUAAAAGUCUUCUGGAAUGAAGCAUCACAGAGGGUGACAAUCCCGUCUUUGACACGGAUUUACCAGUGC
This 151-nucleotide ribosomal RNA is filed under the name Henningsomyces sp. Its description in RNAcentral is "partial large subunit ribosomal RNA". It matches the Rfam family "Eukaryotic large subunit ribosomal RNA", at positions 99 to 242 of the family's 3401-position model. Lineage: Eukaryota; Fungi; Basidiomycota; Agaricomycetes; Agaricales; Schizophyllaceae. The record is from RNAcentral.